GAUGAACGCUGGCGGCGUGCCUAAUACAUGCAAGUCGAGCGAACAGAUGAGGAGCUUGCUCCUCUGACGUUAGCGGCGGACGGGUGAGUAACACGUGGAUAACCUACCUAUAAGACUGGGAUAACUUCGGGAAACCGGAGCUAAUACCGGAUAAUAUAUUGAACCGCAUGGUUCAAUAGUGAAAGACGGUUUUGCUGUCACUUAUAGAUGGAUCCGCGCCGCAUUAGCUAGUUGGUAAGGUAACGGCUUACCAAGGCAACGAUGCGUAGCCGACCUGAGAGGGUGAUCGGACACAGUGAAAUAGAGACAGGGCCGAGACCCAGACGGGGGGCAGAAGUCGAGAAUUGUCCGAAAGGGGGGAAGGCCGUACAGAGAAACGACGGGUGAGAAAUGAAGGUUUUCGGAUCGUAAAACUUUGUUAUUGGGGAAAAAAAAAUGUGUAAGUACCUAGACACGUUGAGACGGCCACCAAAAAGAAAGCCACGGCUACUUAUG
Molecule: ribosomal RNA, 495 nt
Filed under: uncultured bacterium
Lineage: Bacteria
Description: partial 16S ribosomal RNA
Rfam family: Bacterial small subunit ribosomal RNA
Source: RNAcentral